RNAcentral lists this ribosomal RNA (778 nucleotides) under uncultured Neocallimastigales. RNAcentral's name for it is "partial large subunit ribosomal RNA". It matches the Rfam family "Eukaryotic large subunit ribosomal RNA", at positions 23 to 643 of the family's 3401-position model. The record is from RNAcentral. Lineage: Eukaryota; Fungi; Neocallimastigomycota; Neocallimastigomycetes; Neocallimastigales.
AGAGAGAGACAUGCGCGCAUAUCAAUAAGCGGAGGAAAAGAAACUAACAAGGAUUCCCUUAGUAACGGCGAGUGAAGCGGGAAGAGCUCAAAUUUGAAAUCUUCAAGGUUCUACCUUGACGAAUUGUAGUUUAUAGAAGUGUUUUCUGUUAGUGGAGUGGCAAAAGUCCUUUGGAAUAGGACAUCAUAGAGGGUGAGAAUCCCGUAUUUGGUCAUUCCUCCUAGCGUUGUGAUACACUUUCAACGAGUCGGAUUGUUUGGGAAUGCAGUCCAAAAUGGGUGGUAAAUUUCAUCUAAAGCUAAAUAUUGGCGAGAGACCGAUAGCGAACAAGUACCAUGAGGGAAAGAUGAAAAGAACUUUGAAAAGAGAGUUAAACAGUACGUGAAAUUGUCAAAAGGGAAGCGUUUGACACCAGUGUUAUUUUUUCCGAAAAUCAAUUACGAAUGUUUUAUUUUUCGAGGAGUUAUGACUUCAUCGGCUUGCUCCUUUCUUUACUGAAACUUUCUUAAUGCACUUUUCGGUUAACAAGUCAACAUCAAUUUCUUUUGUUGUAAAAGGGUAUGAGGAAGGUGGCUUUCUUUUCGGAGAAAGUGUUUAUAGCCUUGUGCCUCUGCAAUCGGAGAGAUUGAGGUCUGCAGCGUAGAUCCUUCGGGGUUAGAUACGUUUGUGCUAAGUUAUAGCUUUUCAUAGACAACUUGUUGACUAUGUUUAGUCCUUGUAGCUUACUCGCUGACGCUAUUUUACCUACGCUUAGGAUGUUGAUAGUCACAGCGUGUAC